UGUUUUUAUAUUGGCAGUUGAGUAAGAUUACUUAAUAAUUUGACACCUGAUCUCUGCUUAGUUGAGCACCUGUGGGAGAUUUUAGACUGUGAUCACCACCACUAUCUUUUGGAAGAAUGGCCUGUUGCAGAAAUCUGCCAAGUGUGCGCGCUGGAGCUGUUCUGGCUGCUAGUGGUUGGGUCAGCUUUGUUCAGUAAAGCUUUACUGGCAUCACAAUGUCCUGCAGGUAGUCUUAGAAACAAGUAGCACUGGCCCUCCGGAUCACGGAAGCACGUUUUAGAACAUGUUAUAUGAGGAAAUAUGUGGACGGCAUGGGGUGCGGGCCUAAUCUUGUAGUGCUGACGUUUAUGUGACGUCGGUACUGAAGGCUGUGAAACCGGAAGUUCAAAUGUUCCCCGGGGCACGACUCAGGCGAAAACAAUGAAAGCAAUAAUUCAGAGGGUCACUAAAGCGAGCGUAACGGUCGGGGAGGAACAGAUCAGCUCCAUCGGGAGAGGGCUUUGCGUUUUGCUUGGGAUAUCAGCAGAGGACACGCAGAAAGAUGCAGAGUACAUGGUGCGCAAGAUUCUGAACCUACGUGUAUUUGAGGAUGAGAACGGCCGAGCAUGGAGUCACAGUGUAAUGGACAAGGAACUGGAGGUGUUGUGUGUGAGUCAGUUCACACUGCAGUGUAUUCUCAAAGGCAACAAGCCUGACUUUCACUUAGCCAUGCCUGCUGAAUUGGCCCAGCCCUUUUACAACAACAUCCUGGAGCAGAUGAAGAGUGCUUACAAGCCAGAGCUCAUUAAAGAUGGUCAGUUUGGUGCCUACAUGCAGGUGCAAAUCCAGAAUGAUGGACCUGUCACUAUUCAUUUAGAGUCUCCUACUAAACCAACAGAUGCUAAACAGCUUUCAAAACUAGAAAAACAGCAGCAGCGUAAGGAGAAAACGCGACCGAAAGGCAGCUCUGAGUCAGGAAGGGAGAAGGGUGCCUUGCGCUCGAAAGCGGACCCCAAUGCCAGCAGUGGAGCAGAGGGUGAUGUGUCUUCAGAAAGGGAACCAUAGCUGAGGGUCUCCCAGAUUUUGCCUUCUCCCAGUUGAGAUCUGGACCCAUUGAUGGCCUUUUCAGAACAGUCCAGAACCAUUUCCAGGAAGGUGUGCUUGGGACUGACGUGUCCACUCUCUAGACACACGCUGCCACAUUCAGGGACUCUAAACAGCGUAGCGCAAUUAAACAUGACUCGCAUAAUGACAUAAGGUCAUUAUUCAGCCAUCUCCUUUCACCCUUUCAACCAAAUCUACAACCUUAAUUUCUUCUGAACCUAGGGAUGUAUCUAAACAGGAGGAGGAGGAGGAGGAGGACGGUGUGAAAUUGAGCAGGAUAUACCCUCACCACUCUUUGUGCUGCUUUUGGAGCAAAUCAUUUAUUGACGAUAUGUGUACCAUUAGAAUGAUCUUGAAUGUAUGCUUACCUGUGAUUUUAAUGAAACGGACAUCUGCACCUGAAAAGAUGGAGAGAUGUCUUUAUUUAAAAAAAAAAAAAACUGUAUAAAAAAUAAUAAAUACACCAUUGUACACCAAGUUUAAAA
Molecule: RNA transcript, 1568 nt
Organism: Pygocentrus nattereri (red-bellied piranha)
Lineage: Eukaryota; Metazoa; Chordata; Actinopteri; Characiformes; Serrasalmidae
Gene: dtd1
Gene name: D-aminoacyl-tRNA deacylase 1
Exons: 7
Source: RefSeq, a predicted model, not a curated record